Ruditapes philippinarum (Manila clam) is the source of this 434-nucleotide long non-coding RNA. RefSeq lists it as uncharacterized. The record is from RefSeq and is a predicted model, not a curated record. The transcript has 3 exons. NCBI's taxonomy places the organism in Eukaryota, Metazoa, Mollusca, Bivalvia, Venerida, Veneridae.
UAUAAGGCACGCGACACCCAUGUUUAACUACUUGAUUUAGUACAUUCUUGACUAUAUUCAAUUUGGAUAUUCAUUUUUGGUAGCUUUGUAUAUCGCUGGAUUCAAGUUUCAUGAAUUGGGCGCAUCAACAUUUCUAUUUCUGUUACUUGAGCCAAAUAGUGUCUAUAAACUGCGGAUACCACAUAUAUCAGAUAAUUGUUUUUCUUCGGGAAAAAGAAAAGUCGUCUUCAUUUUAAGCCAUAUAUUGAAGAGAGUCAUAGAAAAUAGUAACAACAUAACGAAAAAGCUCCGUUGCGGAAGGAUGUACGACUGUGACAAUUUUGGAACACGACAUGUGCACGCAACUCGUCCGGACUUUAUUAAUUGUGCAAAAUUAGUCUUUUUAGCUCACCUGAGCUUGCUCAGGGUUAGCUUUUAGGAUCGGUGAAUGUCCG